CUACGGGUGGCAGCAGUCGAGAAUCUUCCACAAUGCCCGAAAGGGUGAUGGAGCGACGCCGCGUGAUUGAUGAAGCUCUUCGGAGUGUAAAGAUCUUUUCUGAAGGACGAACUUCGACGGUACUUCAGGAAUAAGGGGCUGCUAAACUCGUGCCAGCAGCAGCGGUAAUACGAGUGCCCCAAGCGUUAUCCGGAUUUAUUGGGCGUAAAGCGUCCGCAGGUGGUUUAAAAUGUCUUACCUCAAAUCCUAAGGCUUAACCUUAGGACUGGGUGAGAAACUUUUAAACUGGAGGUUGGGAGAGGUCAGUGGAAUGGCUGGUGUAGGGGUUAGAUCCGUUAAUACUAGCUGGAACACCAAAAGCGAAGGCAACUGACUGGAACACACCAGACACUCAUGGACGAAAGCGUGGGGAGCGAACGGGAUUAGAUACCCCAGUAGUC
Molecule: ribosomal RNA, 440 nt
Filed under: uncultured bacterium
Lineage: Bacteria
Description: partial 16S ribosomal RNA
Rfam family: Bacterial small subunit ribosomal RNA
Source: RNAcentral